This 253-nucleotide ribosomal RNA is filed under the name uncultured bacterium. Its description in RNAcentral is "partial 16S ribosomal RNA". It matches the Rfam family "Bacterial small subunit ribosomal RNA", at positions 524 to 776 of the family's 1533-position model. The record is from RNAcentral.
GACGAACCGUGCAAACGUUGUUCGGAAUCACUGGGCUUAAAGGGCGCGUAGGCGGGUGGUCAAGUCAGGGGUGAAAUCUUUCGGCUCAACCGGAAAACAGCCUCUGAUACUGACCGUCUUGAGCGAGGUAGGGGCAUGUGGAACUUCCGGUGGAGCGGUGAAAUGCGUUGAUAUCGGAAGGAACGCCGGUGGCGAAAGCGACGUGCUGGACCUCUUCUGACGCUGAGGCGCGAAAGCUAGGGGAGCGAACGGG